Non-coding RNA from Podarcis lilfordi (Lilford's wall lizard), 69 nucleotides. The record is from the annotation of a GenBank genome assembly. Lineage: Eukaryota; Metazoa; Chordata; Lepidosauria; Squamata; Lacertidae.
GUUGUAGCUCAGUGGCAAAGCAUCUGCUUUGGAUACAGAAGGUCGCAGGGUUGAUUCCAGGCUUCUCCA